AAUCUUUUUCUAGCUAAACUUGUGAGAAAGGGUGAAUCAACUAGGUAAAUCAAUUUGAGGUGAAUAGUUUUGUAGAAGGUAUUGAAAGAAUAACAAAAGCGAUAGAGAAAGUACUGAGAAGGAAAGAUGAAAUAUUAAAUAAUUAAUGGAAAGUAGACUAAGUGUUGUACCUUUUGUAUCAGGGUUUAUUAAAUAGAGGGGAUAAUUCUUAUAUCUCGAUAUGAGGAGCGCUAUGGGUAUAAGUCAGUUAAUGUGGUAAAUUUAUUGAACAUAUACUUAUAGGAAUGAGAUAUUAGCCGAUCCUCAAGGUAUCUAGUUUCUUAAGAAAUGAAUUUAAUUCAGGCGUUCUAAGAGGUUUAGGCAAUGAACUUAAAUCUUUAAAAAUAGCUAAUAUUAAGGGGGAUAAGCUCCUUAGUAGAUCUAUAAAGGUGUCAGUAGUGAAAAUAGGUAGGCUUGAAAGUAGCCACCCAUAAAGGAUGUUAUAGUUUAUUUUCUGUAAUUGGAAUUUUAAUCUGUUUAGAGGAGUAUUAAGAAACAACUUUGAAUCAGUAAAGUUGGGUAUAAUGAUAAAAUAAGUAGAAGUACUUAUUAAAUGAGAAAUUUCAAUAAGGAACUCGGCAAAUAUAAUGCUCGCCUGUUUAUCAAAAACAUCGCCUCUUGUAUGAAUAGGAGGUCUAGCCUGCCCACUGAAAAUUAAAGGGCCGCGGUAUUUUGACCGUGCAAAGGUAGCAUAAUCAUUAGUCUUCUAAUUAAAGGCUGGAAUGAAUGGUUGGACGAGGUAUUAGCUGUCUCUUUGGAAUUAAUUUGAAUUUAACUUUCUAGUGAAAAGGCUGGAAUAAUAUUGGAGGACGAGAAGACCCUAUAGAGCUUUAUAUUUGUCUUUAUUUUAAUUUAUUUGGUAGGAGUGUAAUUUUGUAGGGAGAAUAUUUCGUUGGGGUGACGGGAAGAUAAGAUAAACUCUUCUUAAAAUAAAACACAAAUGCGUGAUUUAGUUGAUCCAUUAUUAAUGAUUAAAAGACUAAGUUACCUUAGGGAUAACAGCGUAAUCUUUUUUGAGAGUUCUAAUCGACAAAAAGGGUUGCGACCUCGAUGUUGGACUAAGGGUUAUUCUUGGGUGUAGCAGUUCAAGGUUUAGGUCUGUUCGACCUUUGAAUCCUUACAUGAUCUGAGUUCAGACCGGCGUAAGCCAGGUCGGUUUCUAUCCUCAAUUAUAGUAAAUAUUUUAGUACGAAAGGACCAAAUAUUAAAGAUAGUCUUGUAAUUAGAAUACUAGUAACUAAUA
This 1282-nucleotide ribosomal RNA is filed under the name Heptagenia sulphurea. RNAcentral describes it as "16S ribosomal RNA". The stretch from base 536 to 1282 matches the Rfam family "Archaeal large subunit ribosomal RNA", at positions 1423 to 2822 of the family's 2987-position model. The record is from RNAcentral. Lineage: Eukaryota; Metazoa; Arthropoda; Insecta; Ephemeroptera; Heptageniidae.